Anopheles gambiae (African malaria mosquito) is the source of this 484-nucleotide long non-coding RNA. RefSeq lists it as uncharacterized. The transcript has 2 exons. The record is from RefSeq and is a predicted model, not a curated record. Lineage: Eukaryota; Metazoa; Arthropoda; Insecta; Diptera; Culicidae.
GCAGAAUUUGUUUUCAGAAUAAUCUGAACUCACUGGUUGAGCAUCGAUUGUGUGCCAACUAUUGAUUGGGUUAUUGCGAAGGGAAAGCUCGUUUACUGAAACGAUUUACAGGCCACUUAAAUUCUGCACUAUGCCGCCCGAUUCAUACUUCACAAGGCUCGAAUAGAAAUUAUAGUGCUCAAUUGAUGGUUUACGUCGCCCGAAAAAGUAUAUACGGCAACCGAUAACGCCUUGACGAUGCCGGAUUGGCUAGGUAAACUAUGUAACAUUAACACAUUACCUUAAUUAAUUAUCUUAUGAAAAAAUAAACACUGAGCCGUCUUCCUUCUUUGCUGCAGCGUUUCCAGUCCAAACAAAAACCAACUAUAUCCAUGUUUUAUGUUGUUUGAUGCAGUUUUCAUACUGUCAUUUGCCACAAUACGUUAUGAUGGUUGAGUAAAUUACAGCAAGCUCAGUGAAUUGUAGCUAAGAUUUUACACACUAA